AAGCUUGUUACAUGGACAAGCUCCACACGGCGCACGCUAGAUCCCGUUCCUACAACGUGGGCUCUCCCCCCACGAUCUCCUAGGGUUUCCUCUAACCUGCGCCGAGCGUAGGCGGCGCUCCACCCCGUUCCCGCCGCGCGGGCCGUCGCAUCCGUGAGCCCCAAGUCGUACGCGCGAGUUAAGGGCGAGGAUUCUGUCGGAAUCCCUGAUCCGACGGCUAUUGACCCCUAAGCACGAUAGCCCCGCCCAUCCCGGCGGUGCACGAUAAAUCCAGCCUCCAUCCCCUCUGCAUGGAUGCGGUCUUCUCCUCUCCCGCUCUUUCUUCUGUUUUCUUCUUUUCCUCCCUUUUUAUCUAAUUUGCUGGAAGUUAUUCCGAUUUUCCGCUGAGAUUAUAGGGUUAGGGUUUGUUUUUUAUGAAUUGGAAUGGUUUGAGCUGGGGUUUGGCGGGAAUGGAGAUGUGAUCGAUUCAAGGAGAGAUGGAGAACCCAUCGCGCCCGGCGAUACAUAGAAACCCGUACGAGGUGUUGGGGGUCUCUAGGUUUUGCUCAAGCCUCGAGAUCAAGGUUGCUUACCGGAAAUUAGCACUCAGGUACCACCCUGACAAAAAUGUUGAUGAUCCUGAAGCUUCCGAGCAUUUUAAGGAGGUUUCUUAUUCUUAUACCAUCCUAUCUGAUCCAGAGAGAAGAAGACGUUAUGACAAUGCUAGACUGGAGGCAUCAAAUUUUAGCUCAAGUUUAUCUAUAACGGACAAAGCAUCAGAAAAUCCUGGGCUGGUUAUAGAUGCUCCUGAUAUCAGCACUGACUUAUCUCCAGAAGAUGUUGACUCCAUAGAUGAAAUGCCUGAAGAUGCAAUUCUAUCAAAACAAACUUCUGUAAAUCUUGUCCCAUUCAUUGGCCAAAGAUUUGAAUCUCAGGAUGCUGCUUAUGAAUUUUAUUGCAGCUUUGCAAAGCAAUGUGGCUUCUCUAUUAGACGUCAUCGCACUAGAGGAAAAGAUGGUGUUGGUCGAGGAAUCACCAGAAGGGAUUUCACCUGUCAUCGUGGUGGAUUUCCUCAGGCAAAGCAAUCAGAUGACAGCAAGGCGCAGAGAAAUCGAAAAUCAUCACGUUGUGGAUGCCAGGCAUACAUGAGGAUAGUUAAAAGGGCAGACUUUGAUGUCCCUGAAUGGCGUGUCACUGGCUUUAGCAAUGUCCACAACCAUGAACUCUUGAAAUCAAACCAAGUGCAUCACCUUCCUGCCUAUUGUACCAUAUCAGCAGAUGAUAAGAGCCGCAUUUGCAUGUUUGCUAAAGCAGGAAUGUCUGUACGGCAAAUGUUGAGACUAAUGGAGCUUCAGAAAGGCGUGAAACUUGGUUGUCUACCCUUUAAAGAAAUAGAUGUAAGGAACUUACUACAAUCUUUUAAAAAGGUGGAUCGGGAUCAUGAUGCUAUUGACCUUCUUGCGAUGUGCAAGAAAUUCAAAGAUGAAGAUCCCAACUUCAAAUACGAAUUUAAGAUAGAUGGACAUAACAGAUUGGAACAUAUUGCCUGGUCAUAUGCUUCGUCGGUUCAGUUAUAUGAAGCUUUUGGAGAUGCGGUGGUUUUUGACACAACUCACCAUGCCGAUGCUUAUGAUAUGCUAUUAGGAAUCUGGAUUGGAGUGGAUAAUCAUGGAAUGAAUUGCUUUUUUGGAUGUGUUCUUCUACGAGAUGAAAAUAUGCAAUCAUUUUCUUGGGCUUUGAAGACAUUUUUGGGUUUCAUGAAAGGAAAGGCUCCACAAACAAUUUUAACAGAUCAAAACAUGUGGCUUAAAGAGGCAAUCUCUGUUGAAAUGCCGAGUACAAAGCAUGCCUUCUGCAUUUGGCACAUCAUUGCAAAAUUUUCUGAUUGGUUUUCAGUACUUCUUGGGUCACGGUAUGAUUAUUGGAAGGCUGAGUUCCACCGGCUUUAUAAUAUGGAGGUAGUUGAGGAAUUUGAAGUUGAAUGGAGGGAAAUGGUUAAUGCUUAUUCACUUCAUACAAAUAAGCAUAUAGCCAGUUUAUAUGCAUUGAGGACAUAUUGGGCAUUGCCAUACUUGAGAUGUUACUUCUUUGCAGGAAUGACUGCAACAAUAUAUUCGGAGUCAGUAAAUGCUUUCAUCCAACAGUUUCUUAGUGCACAAUCUCAGCUUGAUCAUUUUGUAGAGCAAGUGGCAGUUAUUAUAGAUUCUAAAGAUCAAGUAGGAGGAAAACAAAAAUCACAACGAAAGCUCCACAAGAUAUGUCUCAAAACAGGGUCCCCUAUGGAGUCCUAUGUAGCUACUGUCCUUACCCCUUAUGCCUUUUGCAAGCUCCAGGAGGAGCUUGUAUUAGCUCCACAAUAUGCAUCAUUUCCAAUCGAAGAUGGAUGCUUUCUUGUGAGACACCAUAAACAGGUGGAUGGAGGGUGCAAAGUAAUUUGGGCACCUCAGGAAGAGCUCAUAAGCUGUAGUUGCCAUCAUUUUGAGUUUACAGGAAUCCUUUGUAGGCAUGUCCUUCGUAUUCUUUCAACGAAUAAUUGCUUUCGCAUUCCAGAUGAAUACCUACCUAGUCGUUGGCGCCGUGUCAACUUGCCUCUGACUAGGUGCUCUAGAACUGCUCUGAGAGAACAUGCUGAACGAGUUCAUUUAUUGCAAUCUCUGGUGUCUACUCUAAUGGCAGAAUCAGUUGAGUCAGAUGAGCGACUUGAGGUUGCUUUGGAACAAGUAGCCAUGGUGUUGUCUCGCAUUAGAGAAUUUCCUGGUUCCACACAUGGUAUGAGCGAUAUUGCUUAUGGGAGCCCUUCUGAGUCGCUGAUUAUACCAGAAGUAGAGGACACUGAUGGCAUUAUCCAGAGCUUUGCUGCUGGGCAUACUCAUGAAUCUUAUACUUUGGGCAAGCUAAAAGAACGACGGGCAAGAGAUGGGGUAGAGAUGUCAAAGAAAAGGAGGCAUUAUCCAGCACCUUGCUGUGGGCAAUUUGGACAUGAUGCUAAUGACUGCCCAAUAAUGGGAACUGAAAGUUUGAAUGGAGAUGAUUUGGGAUUCUUGUAGGACGCCUGGCUGAUAUAUAAAAUGAUGAUAGUUCCUUCAGUCGUUGUACAUAGAUGUAUUCUUUUUUCUCCCCCAAAUUCAGGUCAUGCUCAGGCGAGUCGCACCACAAGAUAUCAGCAGCAUAUUGCCGUACCAAGAAGGCAAGGUUCUUUUCUUUUCUUCUCUCAAACUGAACUUACCCACACCUGUCAUUCUUUGUGAUGUCUGUGAUAAGGUAGAGAUUUGAAAUUAAGGCAAAGAUUUGAAAUCAGUCACCAAGUUCAGCCAUGUCAAAUAUGUUGGACCGUAUUUGAUGCAAAUUCCUGCCAA
Molecule: RNA transcript, 3335 nt
Organism: Phoenix dactylifera (date palm)
Lineage: Eukaryota; Viridiplantae; Streptophyta; Magnoliopsida; Arecales; Arecaceae
Gene name: protein FAR1-RELATED SEQUENCE 11-like
Source: RefSeq, a predicted model, not a curated record